GACGAGAGACGAGAGAAGAGAGAAGAGAGAAGAAGAAAAAAGGGGGAAAAGUUCUUCGAGGCUUCUGGAUCUCGCUGGUCUCUUUCGUUUUCUCCUCCAGAAGCAUAUAGUUUGUGUGUUUUCUUCUGCUUUUCUUCUUCUUCUUCUUCUUCUUCGUUUUGGGGGCGA
Molecule: non-coding RNA, 168 nt
Filed under: Chloropicon mariensis
Lineage: Eukaryota; Viridiplantae; Chlorophyta; Chloropicophyceae; Chloropicales; Chloropicaceae
Source: RNAcentral